RNAcentral lists this long non-coding RNA (875 nucleotides) under Homo sapiens (human). Its description in RNAcentral is "long intergenic non-protein coding RNA 382". Lineage: Eukaryota; Metazoa; Chordata; Mammalia; Primates; Hominidae. The record is from RNAcentral.
GGUUACAAGCAUGUACAUUAUGGCUCUCUCCUUGCCUGGAACUGGAUAUGAGAAAUGCUUGAAUUAAGAUCUGUGAAUUAUCUUAUUUUCUUGUCAGAAGGAUGCAGAUUGCCCAUACUUCAUAGCAGAGCAACAGGAGGGACUUAGGGACAAAAAGCUCAAAGGCAAGGAAGACUGAGGAAGCUAAGUUACUGGCCAUAUGUUUAAUAAAUAUAAGCUUAAUGGCAGUGAAUGUAUUAAUGUCAGCGAAGACAAGUCUAUGAAGUUAAACAGGCACAGAGAGGCUAAGAGUCUUGCCAAAGGCCACAGAGGAAGGAAGAGACUAAAUCUGGAACAAACUUUCUAUUCUCCAUUUCCAGAAGAAACCACUAAACCAUGCUUCCUCUUGUCAUGGAAGCUUAAAAUAUUUGAUCAAACUACGUUUAAAUAAGAAUUAAAAUGCCAUUUGUCCAUCACCUAAUGGCUCAAUUUGCUCCUGCCUUGGGUGUGCACACCCUGCUCUGGAACAGACCAGAGCUCUAAAGAAGUGACUGGAAGUUGUGAAUGUCAUUGUUAUGAAGCUUCAAAUUUGCUCUCCUCUUUAGGACACAGACAUGGCAUUAGAGAAGGGCAGAAAACUGCACUUGGCUGUGCAUAGAGAACACUAGAGACCUCUUGUGCAAGAGAGGGGACUAGGUUGCGUAGUGUAAUGAGAGAAGCAUGGGUUUUGAGACCGCUACAAUGUCUGUGUCUUCUUGGCCAACAUUUCAGUAAGAGUAGUAAGCAUAUCUCCACAAUAGGGUUAAGAGAACCAGUGUCUUCUGAAAAACACAUGAAAUCAUCGUAACCCUGCUAAGUCUGUGCUUUGCAAAAAUUAAAACUAAAACUAAUUUUCA